RNAcentral lists this ribosomal RNA (253 nucleotides) under uncultured bacterium. RNAcentral describes it as "partial 16S ribosomal RNA". It matches the Rfam family "Bacterial small subunit ribosomal RNA", at positions 524 to 776 of the family's 1533-position model. The record is from RNAcentral.
UACGUAGGGGGCUAGCGUUGUCCGGAAUCAUUGGGCGUAAAGAGCGUGUAGGCGGUCCGGUAAGUCCGCUGUGAAAGUCGGGGGCUCAACCCUCGAAUGCCGGUGGAAACUGCCGGGCUAGAGUCCGGAAGAGGCGAGUGGAAUUCCUGGUGUAGCGGUGAAAUGCGCAGAUAUCAGGAGGAACACCGAUGGCGAAGGCAGCUCGCUGGGACGGUACUGACGCUGAGGCGCGAAAGCGUGGGGAGCAAACAGG